This 484-nucleotide ribosomal RNA is filed under the name uncultured bacterium. RNAcentral describes it as "bacterial SSU rRNA". It matches the Rfam family "Bacterial small subunit ribosomal RNA", at positions 28 to 526 of the family's 1533-position model. The record is from RNAcentral.
GAUGAACGCUAGCUACAGGCUUAACACAUGCAAGUCGAGGGGUAGCAGGGCCUAGCAAUAGGUUGCUGACGACCGGCGCACGGGUGAGUAACACGUAUCCAACCUGCCCUAUACUCGGGGAUAGCCUUUCGAAAGAAAGAUUAAUACCCGAUAGUAUAAUUAGAUCGCCUGAUUUGAUUAUUAAAGAAUUUCGGUAUAGGAUGGGGAUGCGUUCCAUUAGAUUGUUGGUGGGGUGACGGCUCACCAUGGCGACGAUCAGUAGCCGGACUGAGAGGUCGAUCGGCCACAUUGGGACUGAGAUACGGCCCAGACUCCUACGGGAGGCAGCAGUGGGGAAUAUUGGGCAAUGGGCGAAAGCCUGACCCAGCGACGCCGCGUGGAGGAAGAAGGUUUUCGGAUUGUAAACUCCUGUCUUCGGGGAAGAUAAUGACGGUACCCGAGGAGGAAGCCACGGCUAACUACGUGCCAGCAGCCGCAGUAACAC